GAGGAAUAUUGGUCAAUGGGCGCGAGCCUGAACCAGCCAAGUAGCGUGCAGGAUGACGGCCCUAUGGGUUGUAAACUGCUUUUGUAUGGGGAUAAAGUCAAUCACGUGUGAUUGUUUGCAGGUACCAUACGAAUAAGGACCGGCUAAUUCCGUGCCAGCAGCCGCGGUAAUACGGAAGGUCCGGGCGUUAUCCGGAUUUAUUGGGUUUAAAGGGAGCGUAGGCCGGAGAUUAAGUGUGUUGUGAAAUGUAGACGCUCAACGUCUGACUUGCAGCGCAUACUGGUUUCCUUGAGUACGCACAACGUUGGCGGAAUUCGUCGUGUAGCGGUGAAAUGCUUAGAUAUGACGAAGAACUCCGAUUGCGAAGGCAGCUGACGGGAGCGCAACUGACGCUUAAGCUCGAAGGUGCAGGUAUCGAACAGGAUUAGAUACCCUGGUAGUCCGCACAGUAAACGAUGGAUGCCCGCUGUUGGUACCUGGUAUCAGCGGCUAAGCGAAAGCAUUAAGCAUCCCACCUGGGGAGUACGCCGGCAACGGUG
RNAcentral lists this ribosomal RNA (539 nucleotides) under uncultured bacterium. RNAcentral describes it as "bacterial SSU rRNA". It matches the Rfam family "Bacterial small subunit ribosomal RNA", at positions 356 to 896 of the family's 1533-position model. The record is from RNAcentral.